CCCGAUUGAUUCUGUCGGCGGUUAUAUGCUUGUCUCAAAGAUUAAGCCAUGCAUGUCUCAGUGCAAGCUAUACUAAAGUGAAACCGCGAAUGGCUCAUUAAAUCAGUUAUGGUUCCUUAGAUGAAAGACAGUUACUUGGAUAACUGUGGUAAUUCUAGAGCUAAUACAUGCACCAAAGCUCCGAUUCAUGACGAGCGCAUCUAUUAGAUUAAAACCAAUCGGGCUUCGUGCUCGUUUCUUGGUGACUCUGAAUAGCUAUAGCUGAUCGCAUGGUCUCGUACCGGCGACGUGUCUAUCAAGUGUCUGCCUUAUCAACUUUCGAUGGUAGUUUAUGUGCCUACCAUGGUUGUUACGGGUAACGGAGAAUAAGGGUUCGACUCCGGAGAGGGAGCCUGAGAAACGGCUACCACAUCCAAGGAAGGCAGCAGGCGCGCAAAUUACCCACUCCCGGCACGGGGAGGUAGUGACGAAAAAUAACGAGACCGUUCUCUAUGAGGCCGGUUAUCGGAAUGGGUACAACUUAAACCCGUUAACGAGGAUCUAUGAGAGGGCAAGUCUGGUGCCAGCAGCCGCGGUAAUUCCAGCUCUCAAAGUGUAUAUCGUCAUUGCUGCGGUUAAAAAGCUCGUAGUUGGAUCUGCGCCUGAGGACUCGGUCUACCCUUUGGGUCAGCACUGGGCUCCUCGGCUACCAUUUGCUGGUUUUCCCUGUGUUGCCUUCACCGGUAGUGCAGGGUGGCUAGCGAGUUUACUUUGAAAAAAUUAGAGUGCUUCAAGCGGGCUUUAGUGCCUGAAUAUUCGUGCAUGGAAUAAUAGAAUAGGAUCUUGGUUCUAUUUUGUUGGUUUUCUGACCCGAGAUAAUGGUUAAGAGGGACAGACGGGGGCAUUCGUAUCGCUGCGUGAGAGGUGGAAUUCUUGGACCGUAGCGAGACGCCCGACUGCGAAAGCAUUUGCCAAGAAUGUCUUCAUUAAUCAAGAACGAAAGUCAGAGGUUCGAAGGCGAUCAGAUACCGCCCUAGUUCUGACCGUAAACGAUACCAACUAGCGUUCCGCCGCUGGCAAACACGCCUUGGCGGGCAGCUUCCCGGAAACGAAAGUUUUUCGGUUCCGGGGGAAGUAUGGUUGCAAAGCUGAAACUUAAAGAAAUUGACGGAAGGGCACCACCAGGAGUGGAGCCUGCGGCUUAAUUUGACUCAACACGGGAAAACUCACCUGGCCCGGACACCGUGAGGAUUGACAGAUUGAGAGCUCUUUCUUGAUUCGGUGGUUGGUGGUGCAUGGCCGUUCUUAGUUGGUGGAGUGAUUUGUCUGGUUUAUUCCGAUAACGAGCGAGACUCUAGCCUACUAAAUAGUUACUGGAUACUCAAGUCCAGAAGACUUCUUAGAGGGACAAGCGGUGUUCAGCCGCACGAAGUUGAGCAAUAACAGGUCUGUGAUGCCCUUAGAUGUCCAGGGCUGCACGCGCGCUACACUGGAGGAAUCAGCGUGCUGUAACCAUUGCCGAAAGGGAUUGGUAACCCCUUGAAAAUCCUCCGUGAUCGGGAUCGGGAAUUGCAAUUAUUUCCCUUGAACGAGGAAUUCCUAGUAAGUGUGAGUCAUCAGCUCACGUUGAUUACGUCCCUGCCCUUUGUACACACCGCCCGUCGCUGCCCGGGACUGAGCCGUUUCGAGAAAAGCGGGGACCGCUGUUUCGACGCCUUUCGGGGUGGAGAUUCUUUGGUGGAAACCGCCUUAAUCGCAGUGGCUUGAACCGGGCAAAAGUCGUAACAAGGUUUCCGUAGGUGAACCUGCGGAAG
This 1793-nucleotide ribosomal RNA is filed under the name Blattella germanica (German cockroach). RNAcentral describes it as "SSU rRNA". It matches the Rfam family "Eukaryotic small subunit ribosomal RNA". Lineage: Eukaryota; Metazoa; Arthropoda; Insecta; Blattodea; Blattellidae. The record is from RNAcentral.